This 293-nucleotide unclassified non-coding RNA is filed under the name Hevea brasiliensis (rubber tree). Lineage: Eukaryota; Viridiplantae; Streptophyta; Magnoliopsida; Malpighiales; Euphorbiaceae. The record is from RNAcentral.
UGUUUUGCCCUAACCUUUUAAACUGAGUUGCACAUUAUGCAAACCAAACCAAACAUAUGCAAGUGCAAGGGCUUAAGAAAUUACCAAGGUAGUCAUUAUUCUUUUGUGUUUUUAAGUCAUUGCACAUGAAAUGGAUUGUGCUAUCUCUCCUCCCCUCCCUCACCCACCACCUUCCCCCCUCUGCCCCCGCCCCCCCCGCGGCCCCCUGCUUCUCUCUCUCUCUCCUUCCUUCUAGCCUUUACUUCCCACUUAACCUUUGUCACUUAUCUUUGCCAGUACGAAGAAUAUGGAGG